UGUACAGUCUGUUCUUUGAAAAGGAGGAGGAGGGGGGAGGGGGAGGAUGAGGAGGAUAAAAGAGUUGGAAGGGACCUUGUAAAUCUUGUACUCCAACCCCCCAUUCAAGGAGGAGACCGUAUUCCAUUUCAUACAAAGGUUGUCCAAUCACUUCUUAAAAACCUCCAGCGCUGGAACAUCCACAAACUCUGGAGGCAAGUUGUUCCAUUGAUUAAUUGUUCUCGCUGUCAGGAAAUUUCUCCUUACACUCACCAAAAAGCUGAGACUGUUAAUAAAAUAAUGUAUCAUUGAUGAUUGGCACCAGAAAAAAAUGUCUGAAUAUUUUAAAUCUUUGCUGAAAAUGAACCGUUUUCUUAGGAUUGGAAUGUGAAUUACAAAAUGCACAUAGAAGUGAUGCUCACACAAAUGUAUUAGUCAAUGCCCUGAGGGGCUCUUUUAUCCCAACAGAUAUGUAAAUCAAGACACCAUUUCCCCUUUAAAGGAGCCCCAUAGUUUCCCUUUUCAGAAAACUCCCACCAACAUAAACCUUGUGCUAUUUCCAGAAUCCUCUCUUGACAAUUCCCUCCACUCAUUAGAGUGAGCAAAAUGUGGCAAAACAUUCUCUUCAUACUACUAGUCCUCAAAGGAGUGCAGUCUCAAGGACAGUUGGUGGAAUCUGGAGGGGAUGUGAGAAGACCUGGAGAGUCCCUUCUUUCUCUCCUGCCAAGGUUCUGGAUACAACUUCGGUGGCUACAGCAUGAGCUGGGAGUCCAGUCUCAAGUGCAGUUGGUGGAGUCUGGAGGAGAUGUGCGAAGACCUGGAGGGUCCCUCCGUCUCUCCUGCCAAGCCUCUGGAUUUGAUUUCAGCAGAUAUGGCAUGGGCUGGGUGAGACAGACUCCUGGGAAAGGACUGGAAUGGGUUGCAAGCAUGGCUACAUCUAGCACUUACUACUCAGACAAAGUGAAGGGUCGCUUCACCAUCUCCAGGGACAAUGCCAAAAGCCAGCUGUAUCUGCAAAUGAACAGCCUCAAAGCUGAAGACACGGCAGUCUAUUACUGUGCAAGAGGCACAGUGAGAGGAAGUAAAUCUGAAGCCAGGCAAGAACCUUCCUUUCUUCAGAGCAGCUCUUCAAUUUGACUAGAUUAGUCAAUGAGGAUUGAUCUUUUUUUUCCCCUUUCUCUCAUUCUUCCUUCCCCGCCCUGAGCAAUUCUGGACAAACUGUCAAACUAAAAGAAACACGUGUCUUAGAAAACAAUUAAACCCAUCAGUCUCACUAGGUAGAACUUUUGUAACACUAACAAGACAGACAUAAACCAUACAGAGAAACACAUUUACAUGAACAAAGAAAUACUUCCCAAGGACAAUAUUAAUCACUACUGGUCCAAACAGACACAAACUAGAUGGAAUUAAAUGAACAUUUUUUUAAAAAAAAAAGCCAAAUCAUAAUCUCAAUAACUUGAGGGGUAUAAGAACAGGACCCCUCACCUUGGGAAACUAUUAGCUAGUCCAGAAACCAUCCCUGUACCAUUACUCCAUCUGGUUUCUGUAAAUAAACCUACUUUCUGGCAGCUUUUUUCAUUCUGUAUCAUUUCUUCCAACUGAGCCGAAGGUCUGCUUCCCAGCUGGAGACCCGAAUCAUGGGAAAUCUUCCCACAAUUCAUAAAACAAAUGUCAUUAGAUAUUAUCUCAUUCUGAAGGACUGAUAAUUAUUAUUUUUUAAAAAAUAUUUUUGUACUAAUUCACUGAAAAGUUCUCAAGAAAAUUUCACAUCUCAGUGGGCUACAGUCUUCACUGUGAAACUGAUAUGCAUACAAACAUACAUACAUACAUACAUACAUAUAUAUACACACAUUGGUGGAUUGUUGGUUUUG
This is a non-coding RNA of Crotalus tigris (Tiger rattlesnake), 1850 nucleotides long. The record is from the annotation of a RefSeq genome assembly. Lineage: Eukaryota; Metazoa; Chordata; Lepidosauria; Squamata; Viperidae.